This 545-nucleotide ribosomal RNA is filed under the name Charagochilus angusticollis. Its description in RNAcentral is "partial small subunit ribosomal RNA". It matches the Rfam family "Bacterial large subunit ribosomal RNA", at positions 1798 to 2621 of the family's 2925-position model. The record is from RNAcentral. Lineage: Eukaryota; Metazoa; Arthropoda; Insecta; Hemiptera; Miridae.
GCCUGUUUUACAAAAACAUGGUCUUUUGUCUUUAAUAUAAGAUUUAGCCUGCUCAAUGAUUUAAUAAAUAGCUGCAGUAAUUUGACUGUACAAAGGUAGCAUAAUCAUUUGUUUCUUAAUUGGAAACUUGUAUGAAUGGUUGGAUGAAAAAUAUACUUUCUUUAUUUUAUAUAAAAAAUUUUAUUUUUUAGUUAAAAAGCUAAAAUUUUGCUAUAGGACGAGAAGACCCUAUAGAACUUUAUUAUAACUUAUUUAUUAAUUUUAAAAAUAGGUUUUUAUAUGUCUGUUAUAAUUUGAUUGGGGUGAUGGAAAAAAUUAUAUAACUUUUUCUCUUUGUUACAUUUAUUGAUGUUUAUUUGAUCCUAUAUUAUGGAAUAUAAGUUUAAGUUACCUUAGGGAUAACAGCGUUAUUCUCUUGGAGAGUUCAUAUUGAUAAGAGAGUUUGCGACCUCGAUGUUGGAUUAAAGUUAGUUUUAGGGGUAUAAUAUUAAAAACUUGGUCUGUUCGACCAUUAAAUCUUUACAUGAUCUGAGGUCGACCGGACG